GGCUGCAUGGUGGAGCGAUUAGUAACAAUGUUGCCUUGAAGAACGAAGGCCCUGGGUUUGAAUCCCAGCCAGCAGCCU
Molecule: non-coding RNA, 78 nt
Organism: Characodon lateralis
Lineage: Eukaryota; Metazoa; Chordata; Actinopteri; Cyprinodontiformes; Goodeidae
Source: the annotation of a GenBank genome assembly